GAAAAGUUAGUUAAACAAUAACCCUGUCUUGUCAAGACAGUAUUGCAAGUUAAACCCUUGCACUUCUCA
Molecule: transfer RNA, 69 nt
Filed under: Indirana semipalmata
Lineage: Eukaryota; Metazoa; Chordata; Amphibia; Anura; Ranixalidae
Description: tRNA-Asp
Source: RNAcentral